GGCCAUAGGUCAGUGGUAGAGCAUCUGCUUUGCAUUCAGAAAGUCCCAGGUUCAAUCCCCAGCAUCUCCA
RNAcentral lists this transfer RNA (70 nucleotides) under Podarcis lilfordi (Lilford's wall lizard). RNAcentral describes it as "tRNA.Ala". The record is from RNAcentral. Lineage: Eukaryota; Metazoa; Chordata; Lepidosauria; Squamata; Lacertidae.